RNAcentral lists this transfer RNA (77 nucleotides) under Actinomycetota bacterium. Its description in RNAcentral is "tRNA-Pro". It matches the Rfam family "tRNA". Rfam says of the family: Transfer RNA (tRNA) molecules are approximately 80 nucleotides in length. Lineage: Bacteria; Bacillati; Actinomycetota. The record is from RNAcentral.
CGGGGAGUAGCGCAGCCCGGCAGCGCACCUGCUUUGGGAGCAGGAGGCCGGGGGUUCAAAUCCCCCCUCCCCGACCA